GCCUAGUUAGCUUAGUUGAUAGUGCGUGUGCCUCGGUAAGCGCUAGGCCGCGGGUUCGAUUCCCGCCCGGGGCG
This 74-nucleotide transfer RNA is filed under the name Diaphorina citri (Asian citrus psyllid). It matches the Rfam family "tRNA". Rfam says of the family: Transfer RNA (tRNA) molecules are approximately 80 nucleotides in length. Lineage: Eukaryota; Metazoa; Arthropoda; Insecta; Hemiptera; Psyllidae. The record is from Rfam by way of RNAcentral.